Long non-coding RNA from Alnus glutinosa, 416 nucleotides. RefSeq lists it as uncharacterized. The transcript is spliced from 2 exons. NCBI's taxonomy places the organism in Eukaryota, Viridiplantae, Streptophyta, Magnoliopsida, Fagales, Betulaceae. The record is from RefSeq and is a predicted model, not a curated record.
UCUUUACACACAAAUCAUAGACAACUUUCAAGAAAGCUUUUGCUUUAGUUUUCUCUCCCUUUUUCUCUCCUUCUACCACACAACCACUUUGGUGUUCUUGAAGUUAUUUUUCUCUCCAAAUCAAAUUGUUAUUGAUGCAGAUCUGGAGAACGAAGGCACGGACCCAUAUGCCAGUUUUGAUGGUUUUUGAAACCUUCAACGAACUAUUAUGUGCUAGUUUAGAAAUUACCAGUUGUGCUUAUGUGUGAUUUGUUUUAUGGCAUAUAAAUAUUUAUAACGAUGUCAUGUUUGGCAUGUUUUAUGUUAUAUGCUUAUGGUGCCGUCUGUGGCACUAAUUUUGAUGCACCUAGUGUGCAUAUGGCAUGUAAAGAUAAACCUAAGUAACUUUUUAUAAACGUAUCGAGGUAUUUCAGUCA